RNAcentral lists this ribosomal RNA (936 nucleotides) under uncultured bacterium. RNAcentral describes it as "bacterial SSU rRNA". It matches the Rfam family "Bacterial small subunit ribosomal RNA", at positions 8 to 916 of the family's 1533-position model. The record is from RNAcentral.
AGAGUUUGAUCCUGGCUCAGAACGAACGCUGGCGGCGUGGAUAAGACAUGCAAGUCGAGCGAUUAUUCCAGGGUAGCAAUAUUCUGGGGUGAGAGCGGCGCAAGGGUGCGUAACACGUGGGUAAUCUGCCGAGAAGUCUGGAACAACUUGCUGAAAGGCGAGCUAAUGCCGGAUGUGGCUGUUGGGAGGCAUCUCUCGACAGCUAAAGUUGGGGACCGUAAGGCCUGACGCUUUUUGAUGAACCCGCGGCCUAUCAGCUAGUUGGUGAGGUAACGGCUCACCAAGGCUAAGACGGGUAGCUGGUCUGAGAGGACGACCAGCCACACUGGAACUGAGACACGGUCCAGACACCUACGGGUGGCAGCAGUCGAGAAUUUUUCACAAUGGGCGCAAGCCUGAUGGAGCGACGCCGCGUGGGGGAUGAAUGGCUUCGGCCCGUAAACCCCUGUCAUUUGCGAUCAAACCUCGUUAUUUAAAAGAUGACGAGCUGAUAGUAGCGAAAGAGGAAGGGACGGCUAACUCUGUGCCAGCAGCCGCGGUAAUACAGAGGUCCCGAGCGUUGUUCGGAUUCACUGGGCGUAAAGGGUGCGUAGGUGGCGAAGUAAGUCGGAUGUGAAAUCUCGGAGCUUAACUCCGAAACGGCAUUGGAAACUACUUUGCUAGAGGUUUGGAGGGGGGACUGGAAUGCUUGGUGUAGCAGUGAAAUGCGUAGAUAUCAAGCGGAACACCAGUGGCGAAGGCGAGUCCCUGGACAACACCUGACACUGAGGCACGAAAGCUAGGGGAGCAAACAGGAUUAGAUACCCUGGUAGUCCUAGCCGUAAACGGUGCAUGUUUGCUGUAAAAGGAAUCGACCCCUUUUGUGGCGGAGCCAACGCGUUAAACAUGCCGCCUGGGAAGUACGGUCGCAAGAUUAAAACUCAAAGGAAUUGACGG